This 479-nucleotide ribosomal RNA is filed under the name uncultured bacterium. RNAcentral describes it as "partial 16S ribosomal RNA". It matches the Rfam family "Bacterial small subunit ribosomal RNA", at positions 28 to 507 of the family's 1533-position model. The record is from RNAcentral.
GAUGAACGCUAGCGGAAGGCCUAACACAUGCAAGCCGAGCGGUAUUGUUUCUUCGGAAAUGAGAGAGCGGCGUACGGGUGCGUAACACGUGUGCAACCUGCCUUUAUCUGGGGGAUAGCCUUUCGAAAGGAAGAUUAAUACUCCAUAAUAUAUUGAACGGCAUCGUUUAAUAUUGAAAGCUCCGGCGGAUAGAGAUGGGCACGCGCAAGAUUAGCUAGUUGGUGAGGUAACGGCUCACCAAGGCGAUGAUCUUUAGGGGGCCUGAGAGGGUGAUCCCCCACACUGGUACUGAGACACGGACCAGACUCCUACGGGAGGCAGCAGUGAGGAAUAUUGGUCAAUGGGUGCAAGCCUGAACCAGCCAUCCCGCGUGAAGGACGACUGCCCUAUGGGUUGUAAACUUCUUUUGUAUAGGGAUAAACCUACCCUCGAGAGGGUAGCUGAAGGUACUAUACGAAUAAGCACCGGCUAACUCCGUG